RNAcentral lists this ribosomal RNA (789 nucleotides) under Triticum aestivum (bread wheat). RNAcentral's name for it is "partial small subunit ribosomal RNA". The record is from RNAcentral. Lineage: Eukaryota; Viridiplantae; Streptophyta; Magnoliopsida; Poales; Poaceae.
AUGGAGGCAUGCGAGAUCGCCCGCCUGCUGGAGGAGCUCCUGUCGGCAGCCUUAUCCCGCACGUCGCCGCGCGACGCCUGCCGUGCCGCGGCUGUCUCCGCGGCCUUCGGGACGGCGGCCGACUCCGACGCCGUCUGGGCCUGCUUCCUGCCCAGCGGUCGUGACCUCCCGCUGCUCGCUGACGGAGAGCAGCUGCCAUGCAGGAAGAAGGACCUGUUCCUCCGCCUCUCCGGCAGCCCGGUCCUCCUCCCAGGCGGACUCCUGAGCAUGUGGCUGGACAGAGAGACCGGCGCCGGGUGCUACAUGGUGCCGGCGAGGGAGCUGUCCAUCGGAUGGGGCGCUCUCGCCGACUCGAGGUCUUCCGAGAGUGCUGAACUCAUACUAGUUUGCUGGCUGUAUAUCCGCGGCAAGAUAGAUAGCAAGAUGCUCUCCCAAGGCUCAAUAUACUCAGUGUACAGGGUGUACAAGUUUGCCAAUUAUUUGUAUGGAUUGUCCGACGGUUACUACGGGCUAGAAUUGCCGGUCCAGAAGGCAUCAGUGAGCGUCGGAGACAACCACCAAAUCCGCAAGGUCUGCAUCCAUCCUAACCAGCAAAGAAGCAUGAGACGGAACUGUCAUGCAACGCUUCCUCACAAAAGAGCUGAUGGUUGGAUGGAGCUGGAGCUGGGCGAGUUUGUUUGCGAGGGGCAUGAAGAUGGGGACGUGUCGUUCGGUCUAUCAGAGAUGAAAGAUUUGAGUAGGAAGAACGGUCUUAUCGUGCAGGGUAUUGAGAUUAGGCAUAAGAUUUGA